Molecule: long non-coding RNA, 1004 nt
Filed under: Ananas comosus (pineapple)
Lineage: Eukaryota; Viridiplantae; Streptophyta; Magnoliopsida; Poales; Bromeliaceae
Description: long non-coding RNA (ACOM_LNC041006)
Source: RNAcentral
UAUUUAAGUACAUUUUAAACAAUAACUAGCGAUACUUUAAAGCGUCCGACAAGAAUAAUCCCGACGUUUGUAAAAGUGUCGAAUAAAGACUCGUUAAGUAAAUAUGUUGGAAUAAAUAUACCGACGAUUUAAUAUAGCGUUGAAAAUUUUUUACCAAUAUUUGAUAAAAAUAUGUUUAUUGGUGACGCUUAAUCAUGGUGUCGGUAUAUAACAAAUAUUGAAGAUGCUAAAAUAAAGCGUCGUCUAAAAUAUAUUUUGUUGUAGUGUAUACUAAAUACAAAUUAAAUUGAGAUGAACUAGAACGCUUUGAGAGUAUUAAUUCUUUUUUAACUUCUAAUUUUUUCACUAGUGAAUAAACUCUUUUGGCCAUUACUAGUCUUUAAAUUAAUAUAAUUACCCCAAUCACCACUAUAUCCGGGUUAAUAUGGUAUCCUUACUUAUCAUAUCAUAGGGCCUGUUAAGAUGGACAGUAAAAAAUCUCCACAGAAUUUAUAAAUUGUGGUCUUGGUCCAAAUGAAAUAGAAAAUCCUGUAACUCUAAAAAAUUUUCGGAUUUAAUUUUUAAACUGUUUGGAUGCGCAUUAUGCAAUUUUACGGAAUUUCUCUAAAUUUCAAAAUUAAAAGUUAAAAGUUAAAAUUUAAAAUUUAAAAUUUAAAAUUUAAAAUUUGAUAUGUGAAACGUGAAAUUUUAAAUUUUAAAUUCUAAAUUUUGAAAUUUGAAAUUUAAAAUUUGAAAAUUGAAAAUUGAAAAUUUAAAAUAUAAAAAUCUAAAUUUAUUUUUCUGAUUUUAAAAUUUAAAUUUUAAAAUAAAAAAUUUAAAAUUUAAAAUUUAAAAUUUUGAAUUUUAAAUUUAUAAUUAAAAAUUAAAAAUUACAAAUUUAGAAAAUAAAUUAAAAAUUUAAAGUUCAAAAUUUGAAAUUUGAACUAUGAGAUUUGAGAUUUAAAAUUUGAAAAUUGAAAAUUGAAAUUUAAAAUUUAAAAUUUAAAAUUUAAAAUUUAAAAUUU